Small nucleolar RNA from Grammomys surdaster, 142 nucleotides. RefSeq annotates it as small nucleolar RNA SNORA48. The record is from RefSeq and is a predicted model, not a curated record. The transcript has a single exon. Lineage: Eukaryota; Metazoa; Chordata; Mammalia; Rodentia; Muridae.
CCUCCUGGCAAUGGUCAAAGAGACACCUUGUUAGUAAUGUUGUCUUAAAUCAGUCAAGGACAGAGCAGAUGGCAGUCCUUUGUUCAUGCUAGCUUGAUGUCCAGCUUGGUGGCCAACGCUAUUUUAUGCCUGGGACACAUAA